RNAcentral lists this ribosomal RNA (900 nucleotides) under uncultured archaeon. Its description in RNAcentral is "bacterial SSU rRNA". It matches the Rfam family "Archaeal small subunit ribosomal RNA", at positions 455 to 1354 of the family's 1478-position model. The record is from RNAcentral.
GUGUCAGCAGCCGCGGUAAAACCAGCACCUCAAGUGGUCAGGAUGAUUAUUGGGCCUAAAGCAUCCGUAGCCGGCUCUGUAAGUUUUCGGUUAAAUCUGUACGCUCAACGUACAGGCUGCCGGGAAUACUGCGGAGCUAGGGAGUGGGAGAGGUAGACGGUACUCGGGAGGAAGGGGUAAAAUCCUUUGAUCUCUCGCUGACCACCUGUGGCGAAGGCGGUCUACCAGAACACGUUCGACGGUGAGGGAUGAAAGCUGGGGGAGCAAACCGGAUUAGAUACCCGGGUAGUCCCAGCUGUAAACUAUGCAAACUCAGUGAUGCAUUGGCUUGUGGCCAAUGCAGUGUUGCAGGGAAGCCGUUAAGUUUGCCGCCUGGGAAGUACGUACGCAAGUAUGAAACUUAAAGGAAUUGGCGGGGGAGCACCACAAGGGGUGAAGCCUGCGGUUCAAUUGGAGUCAACGCCAGAAAUCUUACCCGGAGAGACAGCAGAAUGAAGGUCAAGCUGAAGACUUUACCAGACAAGCUGAGAGGUGGUGCAUGGCCGUCGCCAGCUCGUGCCGUGAGAUGUCCUGUUAAGUCAGGUAACGAGCGAGAUCCCUGCCUCUAGUUGCCACCAUUACUCUCAGGAGUAGUGGGGCGAAUUAGCGGGACCGCCGCAGUUAAUGCGGAGGAAGGAAGGGGCCACGGCAGGUCAGUAUGCCCCGAAACUCUGGGGCCACACGCGGGCUGCAAUGGUAAUGACAAUGGGUUCCGAAUCCGAAAGGAGGAGGUAAUCCCCAAACAUUACCACAGUUAUGACUGAGGGCUGCAACUCGCCCUCACGAAUAUGGAAUCCCUAGUAACCGCGUGUCAUUAUCGCGCGGUGAAUACGUCCCUGCUCCUUGCACACACCGCCCGUC